GUGCGCCUGUGUUCUAGCGCUGUCUGGCCUCUGUCAAAGCCACACCCCUUCCCUCGGUUUGGAGCCACCCCACAUGGGCUCCCAAGUCAAUAUGCUGUAGCGGGCUCCACUCUGAGGUGCCCUCACUGGCAUUUCUUCCCUCUCCUGGAAGACAUCGCAGUUCGCCCGCCCCGAGCCCAUUCCGUGGGUAAUCCUGUCCAUUCACUCACCCUCAGCUACUAGCCAAGAGCCCCAACCUCGGGCUCAGUCCAGCGUUCUCUGCUGAGCUGCAAACCAGCACAUUCAGGGGUUCCUGGGCACUGCUGGGGCCCCUGGUCCUGAACCAGCGCACACUGGGAGGGGCUGGGUGACCUCUGGCGGGUCCAGGGUACUCAGGGCAGGUUAUCCAGACCAGAGGCAGAGGUGAAUGGACAUGCCAACAGGGUCCUCUCUGCAGAGCUUCUCAUAGCUACUGAGCAGCUACGCAGGGGAGACCGUCUUCUGACCUACCUGUGUCAGCAUGUCCCCGCUGGGUUCUUCAGAAGCAGAUGCUGAGUCAGAGUUUGGGAUGCAAGCUGUUUUCCGUGAGCGGAAGGGCAGGAAGCAGGACCAGGUGAAGGGAACAGGGGAACAGCAGUGUGGCCCAGUGAGGCCUCAGCCAAGCUGGCAGGGAGCUCGGGGGUGAGCACCCCCUCGGGUCGUCCCAUGUGGGGCCAAGGCACUCAGGUCUUCAUACCCCUACCGCCGUCAUUUACGGACGUGGAUGCCCAAGAAGGGGCGAGCCGGGUGGGGUGGCCCCUGCAGCCGAGUCUGACCCUGAAGGAGCUCACAGCUGGAAGCUGGCUGUUGACCACACCCCCCACCCCACGGCGGGGCAGCAAGCCCUUCCUGGAAGGGAGAUUGGAGCCUUGCAUCUCCCUGUCCACACAGCCUGCUCCUUCUGUCGCUCAGGUCCACUUCUCCGUACCUGUCUAGGCAGCAACUCCUCCGGGAUCCUCUGGACCAUUCUUCCUGAUGGGAUACCUAGGAGGGGAGGUUGGCGGGACACAGGCAAUCCUGGCUGCCGUUGGUCUCAGGGCUGCAAGAGCCAUCCUUAUACCAAGUUCACACCAUCCCCUGAGGUCCUUGCCAGGGUGCUAAAUGCCGUAUCUCAGGAGAGCUCAAAACAGCAGUGAAUUCUUCCUGUCCACUCUACGUCCCAGCCCCCUAGUCAAGCAUCCUCAGAUCCAGGCACACCCCUGGGGCUGGCGGUAUUUGCUGACUGGUUCUCGUGGCUCAUUUGGAACGUAGUCCUUUCUCUGUCGUUAGGCCCAGCACCUCCCCAGCUGGGUUUCAUGGCGACCUGAAGGCCUAGUGGCCAGAAUAGGCGGUGGGGCAGGUCCUGAUGGGGUGCAAGUCGUCCUGCCAGGGAGAGGCCUCUAUGUCGUUGCCUUCAAGCCGGGGAGGCCGUGCUAGCUCUUAAUAUGGGGGAGGGGGCGCAUCUGCAGAUUCAGAGGAGCCCGGGCUGUUGCAAUCUUUGAGGACCUUCACUCGAUGUCUCCAUCCACAGAUGCCUCCGUCCCACGUGUCGGGGCCCAGAGUUCUCUAACCAGGGCUCUGACUUUGGUCUAACAGACUAGCCGUGGUUGAAUAUCUCACCGGCUUUGAAAUGCAGCUGCUCUCACUAUUCAGUCCCAGGCCUGGCCUUCAUUUCCUGGGCUCGCCCUACAGCUCAUGAGUGUCUCUGUGCCCACCCCAACAGGCCACUGACUGUCACCCCUGACUUGCCAUUGCCAGCUCCCCCUCCGCUGUUCCCUAUUUUCUUACAGCACCAGCAGCCUUUCCAGCAUCUUCUCCUGACGGACGCCAUGUCCCCAACACCUGUGAGACUCCUGCGAUGGGGUCCUCACUGCCAGGCGGGCAGGCAGAACUCCAGCUGCCAAGCCGCGCCUCACCACCUGCUUUCCUGGACCACUCCCGACUGGCACGCUGGGUCUCUGGAAGCAGACGCCGACACAGAGCCCGAGUGUGAGGACGUACGAGGGUCAACACUUCUGAAGGAAGGUGAAAAGCAGGACUGGGCAGAGAGCAGGCAUCGCACUGCCGUGCAGGCCUGUGGGAGCCGGGACCAGCCCGAGGGAGCUCCGGAGGGAGGGCCGCCUGUCAGAGUUGUCCCACACGGCUCACGAUGGCAGGGGUUCAUACCCCAACUCAC
Equus caballus (horse) is the source of this 2173-nucleotide long non-coding RNA. Lineage: Eukaryota; Metazoa; Chordata; Mammalia; Perissodactyla; Equidae. The record is from Ensembl.